AGCAGCCGCGGUAAUUCCAGCUCCAAUAGCGUAUAUUAAAGUUGUUGCAGUUAAAAAGCUCGUAGUUGAAUUUCGGGGUUCUACCGUUGGUCGGGCUUUGUCUGUACUGGCGUGUAGAUUUUCUACCUUCUGGGGAACCAUCAUGUUAUUAAUUUAACGUGGUGGGAAACCAGGACCUUUACCUUGAAAAAAUUAGAGUGUUCAAAGCAGGCUUAUGUCUGAAUACAUUAGCAUGGAAUAAUAAAAUAGGACGGUGGUCCUGUUUUGUUGGUUUCUGAAUCACCGUAAUGAUUAAUAGGGAUAGUUGGGGGCAUUAGUAUUCAAUUGUCAGAGGUGAAAUUCUUGGAA
Molecule: ribosomal RNA, 348 nt
Filed under: uncultured Racocetra
Lineage: Eukaryota; Fungi; Glomeromycota; Glomeromycetes; Diversisporales; Gigasporaceae
Description: SSU rRNA
Rfam family: Eukaryotic small subunit ribosomal RNA
Source: RNAcentral